GAUGAACGCUGGCGGCGUGCCUAAUACAUGCAAGUCGAGCGAACGGACGAGAAGCUUGCUUCUCUGAUGUUAGCGGCGGACGGGUGAGUAACACGUGGAUAACCUACCUAUAAGACUGGGAUAACUUCGGGAAACCGGCGCUAAUACCGUAUAAUAUUUUGAACCGCAUGGUUCAAAAGUGAAAGACGGUCUUGCUGUCACUUAUAGAUGGAUCCGCGCUGCAUUAGCUAGUUGGUAAGGUAACGGCUUACCAAGGCAACGAUGCAUAGCCGACCUGAGAGGGUGAUAGGCCACACUGGAACUGAGACACGGUCCAGACGCCUACGGGAGGCAGCAGUAGGGAAUCUUCCGCAAUGGGCGAAAGCCUGACGGAGCAACGCCGCGUGAGUGAUGAAGGUCUUCGGAUCGUAAAACUCUGUUAUUAGGGAAGAACAUAUGUGUAAGUAACUGUGCACAUCUUGACGGUACCUAAUCAGAAAGCCACGGCUAACUACGUG
Molecule: ribosomal RNA, 497 nt
Filed under: uncultured bacterium
Lineage: Bacteria
Description: partial 16S ribosomal RNA
Rfam family: Bacterial small subunit ribosomal RNA
Source: RNAcentral